This 74-nucleotide transfer RNA is filed under the name Candidatus Collierbacteria bacterium RIFOXYD1_FULL_40_9. RNAcentral's name for it is "tRNA-Pro". It matches the Rfam family "tRNA". Rfam says of the family: Transfer RNA (tRNA) molecules are approximately 80 nucleotides in length. Their secondary structure includes four short double-helical elements and three loops (D, anti-codon, and T loops). Further hydrogen bonds mediate the characteristic L-shaped molecular structure. tRNAs have two regions of fundamental functional importance: the anti-codon, which is responsible for specific mRNA codon recognition, and the 3' end, to which the tRNAs corresponding amino acid is attached (by aminoacyl-tRNA synthetases). tRNAs cope with the degeneracy of the genetic code in two manners: having more than one tRNA (with a specific anti-codon) for a particular amino acid; and 'wobble' base-pairing, i.e. permitting non-standard base-pairing at the 3rd anti-codon position. Lineage: Bacteria; Candidatus Collieribacteriota. The record is from RNAcentral.
AGGGAGAUAGCGCAGCUGGCUAGCGCGCUUGCUUUGGGAGCAAGAGGUCGCGGGUUCAAAUCCCGUUCUCCCUA